UGAUUUAGCGGCGGACGGGUGAGUAACACGUGGGCAACCUGCCCUGCAGACUGGGAUAACUUCGGGAAACCGGAGCUAAUACCGGAUAAUCCAUUUUACUUCAUGGUGAAAUGUUGAAAGGCGCUUUCGCGCCACUGCAGGAUGGGCCCGCGGUGCAUUAGCUAGUUGGUGGGGUAACGGCCUACCAAGGCGACGAUGCAUAGCCGACCUGAGAGGGUGAUCGGCCACAUUGGGACUGAGACACGGCCCAAACUCCUACGGGAGGCAGCAGUAGGGAAUCUUCCACAAUGGACGAAAGUCUGAUGGAGCAACGCCGCGUGAGUGAUGAAGGUUUUCGGAUCGUAAAACUCUGUUGUAAGGG
Molecule: ribosomal RNA, 361 nt
Filed under: uncultured Rummeliibacillus sp.
Lineage: Bacteria; Bacillati; Bacillota; Bacilli; Caryophanales; Caryophanaceae
Description: bacterial SSU rRNA
Rfam family: Bacterial small subunit ribosomal RNA
Source: RNAcentral